GAACUCCUUAACUUGAGGGUGAACAACUUAAAGCUUGAUCCUACAGUUACCUGAAAAGUGAUUUGAGUAUUCAUUGAACUGAAAGAACAAAUCGCCUACUUCAGGCGGUGGCAAGCGUAUGGAAAUUAUAUUAGAACUUCAGCAAAGUGCACAGCUGCAUAAUAGAGAAGCCGGCACUCAGAUUGACAGGCAAAUAAGCCAGCUUGUGGAAGGGGCCUCUGGGUGGCAGCUCUGGGCUUUUGGGUGUUGGACAACCAUAGGCAAAACUGAAAUGGAACAGGGGCAGAAAAUAGCACACUUUUACUCUACGCAACUGUUGCUUUUUCAUGAUCUUCAGGAAUUUUACUGGGAUAAUUAUCCAAAUAAAUUGCAAGCAUUCUAUCCAAAUGGAGCUCUUUCUGAGAUGAAGAGAAUUCUCAAUGUCAAGAUUUGAACAAGAAGAGAAUGGAAUACACAAUAUGGACAUCCAUAAAAAUUCAUCAGAGAGCAUUUUACUACUGAGCUGCAAAGGGAAAAACUUAAAAUGGAUAUGAAAAGUGAAGAAAGUGAUCAUAGGAGAAAACCAUUUCAGGUGUCUGAUGAUUUGUGAGCCUCAAGUGACUACUCUGUGGAAUCAUCUGUCCUUGCCUUUGAAUUAGCUUUCCCUAGGCCAUGAGUCAACAUUAGUAGUUUAUACAUCCAAAUUGAUGACAAGAGCACCUCAAAGGCAGCAGCCUCAAGGAGCAGCCAUGGCCCCAGACUUGUCGCACGGAUGCAGAAAACUUAAUGGAGGAGGCUGAGGAACUCUUCCAGACUCUGGGAAAUAUGUCUCCAAGAAAGCAGACAAUACCCCUGCCCUCUGUGGAAGACUGACAAAUAUACAAGUGCAUAUGUAUAUAUAGACUGUCAGAUGAUGUAAGUAUGAUGAAGAAAAUGAA
This 917-nucleotide long non-coding RNA is filed under the name Homo sapiens (human). Its description in RNAcentral is "mir-99a-let-7c cluster host gene". Lineage: Eukaryota; Metazoa; Chordata; Mammalia; Primates; Hominidae. The record is from RNAcentral.